GACGAACGCUGGCGGCGUGCUUAACACAUGCAAGUUGAACGGAAAGGCCCUGCUCUUGUGGCGUGCGCGAGUGGCGAACGGGGGAGUAACACGUGAGUAACCUCCCCCUGACUUUGGGAUACCUUCUUGGAACUCGGGUUCUUAUCCGACAGGAGCUCCUGCUGCAUGGUGGGGGUUGGAAAGAUACGGCGGUUGGGGACGGAGUGGAGGUCUAUCAGCUUGUUGGUGAGGUAGUGGAUUACCAAGGCUUUGACGGGUUGCCGGCCUGGGAGGGUGACCGGCCACAUUGGGACUGAGGUACGGGCAGGAGUCCAACGGGAGGCAGGAGUGGGGAAUAUUGCACGAAGGGCGGAAGGCUGAUGCAGGAACGCCGGGUGGGGAAUGACGGUCUGCAGGUUAUAAACCGCUUUCGCGUGUGACGAAGCGUGAGUGACGGUAAUGGGUAAGAAAGCGCCGGCUAACUACGUG
RNAcentral lists this ribosomal RNA (468 nucleotides) under uncultured bacterium. Its description in RNAcentral is "partial 16S ribosomal RNA". It matches the Rfam family "Bacterial small subunit ribosomal RNA", at positions 28 to 507 of the family's 1533-position model. The record is from RNAcentral.